GAUGAAGAACGCAGCGAAAUGCGAUAAGUAGUGUGAAUUGCAGAAGUACCGUGAAUCAUCGAAUCUUUGAACGCAAAUUGCACUCUCUGGUAUUCCGGGGAGUAUGCCUGUUUGAGGGUCGCUUAACAAACCAUCGAUUUCGUUGCUUUUUUUUUAAAAAGUGAUGUUUAUCGGAUUUGAGCCGUCUUUUUUUUUUAUAUUUAAGUGGCUUAAAAUUGAUUUUUUUGGUACGAUCGAAGCGUAUUUUUAUGAUCAAUUUUUGGUUAAAGAAACGCACACGUACCGUUAUUUAUAUGAUGUAAUACGUUUGACUAUUGGAUUUAGUUCAUUCGUAUACGAUAUUUUUCAAUAUUUGACCUCAAAUCAGGUAAGAACACCCGCUGAACUUAAGCAUACAAUAAGCGGAGGA
Molecule: unclassified non-coding RNA, 409 nt
Filed under: soil metagenome
Description: partial contains 5.8S ribosomal RNA, internal transcribed spacer 2, and large subunit ribosomal RNA
Rfam family: 5.8S ribosomal RNA (bases 1-121)
Source: RNAcentral